AUUGAACGCUGGCGGAAUGCUUUACACAUGCAAGUCGAACGGCAGCACGGGAGCUUGCUCCUGGUGGCGAGUGGCGAACGGGUGAGUAAUAUAUCGGAACGUAUCCAAUAAUGGGGGAUAACUAAGCGAAAGCUUGGCUAAUACCGCAUACGCCCUGAGGGGGAAAGCUAGGGAUCUUCGAACCUGGCGUUGAUGGAGCG
RNAcentral lists this ribosomal RNA (200 nucleotides) under uncultured bacterium. RNAcentral describes it as "partial 16S ribosomal RNA". It matches the Rfam family "Bacterial small subunit ribosomal RNA", at positions 30 to 228 of the family's 1533-position model. The record is from RNAcentral.